Salmo salar (Atlantic salmon) is the source of this 54-nucleotide non-coding RNA. The record is from Rfam. Lineage: Eukaryota; Metazoa; Chordata; Actinopteri; Salmoniformes; Salmonidae.
UGUAUUCUCUACUGUAAGUCGCUCUGGAUAAGAGCAUCUGCUAAAUGACUAAAA